RNAcentral lists this long non-coding RNA (540 nucleotides) under Lactuca sativa (garden lettuce). Its description in RNAcentral is "long non-coding RNA (LSAT_LNC007308)". Lineage: Eukaryota; Viridiplantae; Streptophyta; Magnoliopsida; Asterales; Asteraceae. The record is from RNAcentral.
GUUACUGAGGACAAAACAAAUGUACUAAUCUAAUGCUUUUAACAGUAAUAAAGUGGAAAAUCAUGUGAGAAACAUAUAUUAUAACAAUAUAUAGUAAGAUUUGAAAACUAAUUCUACAAGUCAANAAACAUAUAUUAACAAUAUAUAGUAAGAUUUGAAAACUAAUUCUACAAGUCAAACAGUUGGUUAAUACGCUUUUGAUUGUUAAAAGCAUGUGGAAUAUGAAACAUUUCAAAUGAAAUAAUAAGUUUGAGUACAAGAUAUACUUGUACUUUUGCUUGUAUUCCCCCUGAAAACAUUGAAAAACGCGGAAAAAGGUGUAGGGGUAUGAACUCACCAGACGAGGAAUGUAUCGGCUAGGAUGCUAAACAUCAGUUCGAGGCUUGAAAACGCGCGAGGUUCCUAUGUAAUAUGAAAUGAUACACAUGUGUAUCCAAUUAGGCUUUUUACUACUAAUUAGAAUGAAUAAACAUUCUGAGGCGCGAAAACACUUCAAUUCAAGUGUUUGGAGUGACCUGGGUGACAUCUAUGGACAUAUAU